AUUUCCAACAAGGCCAUCCUCUGCCACGUAUGGGGCUGGAGCCACGGGUCUCUCCAUGUGUACUCUUUGGUUGGUGGUCCAGUCCCUGGGAGCUCCGGGCGGUGUGGCCAGUUGACACUGUUGCUCUCCUCAUGGGGAUGCAAACUCCCUCAGCUCCUUCAGUCCCUUCUCCAACUCCUCCAUCGGGGACCCCGAUGGUUGGCUUCAAGCAUCCACUUCUGUACUUGUCAGGCUGUCAGGAGACAGCCAUAUCAGGCUCCUGUCAGCAAGCACUUCCCAGCAUCCUUCCUGGCAUCCACAAUAGCAACAUAAUUUCUUUCUUUCUUUUCUCUUUCUUUCUUUCUUUCUUUCUUUCUUUCUUUCUUUCUUUCUUUCUUUCUUUCUUUCUUUCUUUCUUUCUCUCUCUCUCUCUUUCUUUCUUUCUUUCUUUCUUUUAGAAAAUACUCAAUAGGUUUGAAAUGACAUAUAGCUUCUUCCAUCUGUGAGUAAGGUUUAAACAUAGUUGUCGUAAGGACACAUGCUUAGAAACUUCAUCCCCCCACCUUUUAAAAAAAAACAGACCUGGCUCUUGGCAAAAUAGUUCUGUUCUUUUUAUUUCAUUUAGUAUGCUAUGAUGCUCUUUGGACAGGGCAUUCCUAAAAAAAUUUCAUCAUUCCCUACUUUAUUAUUGAAAGAAAACAAAAACCAUCAAAUGCCAAUCAAGAUUGUAGUUUCAAAAUUCAAGCUCUAUUUUAUAAAUUCCAAGGAUCAGAGAUAGUCAAAGAACCUUCAUAGGGAUCCUGUAAGUGACUAAUGUAAUUUUUAUUUUUGAUCGGACAUGACAAAUGAGAAUUGUGUCUUUCUCCACUCUAUUACCAGAACCUCAUUAGGACCUGCUGAACACUUGGGCAACUGAUUCAGCUGAGACAUUCUCCAGCAAAAUACAUUAGCAUUACAAAUGCCACUUGCUCUGAACCUAUCUGAAGGAGCAUUUUCUCUCAGAGGUAUAGUAAGAAUUACAUUACCAGUAUAGUUGGUAAGCUCUGUUGAAUAAUUCUAUAGUUUAGAAAAGGAACGUGACCUUUUGUAUCUCCCAGAGGGAUAAUAACAUUACAGAUUAAUUCAAAAUAAAGCUAAUUGGAAAAAGACAAUAGUAACACUAGCUUUACAGAGA
Molecule: long non-coding RNA, 1153 nt
Filed under: Mus musculus (house mouse)
Lineage: Eukaryota; Metazoa; Chordata; Mammalia; Rodentia; Muridae
Description: long non-coding RNA chr5:9246265-9247418
Source: RNAcentral